This 253-nucleotide ribosomal RNA is filed under the name uncultured bacterium. RNAcentral's name for it is "partial 16S ribosomal RNA". It matches the Rfam family "Bacterial small subunit ribosomal RNA", at positions 524 to 776 of the family's 1533-position model. The record is from RNAcentral.
UACAGAGGUCCCGAGCGUUGUUCGGAUUCACUGGGCGUAAAGGGUGCGUAGGUGGUGAGGAAAGUCGGAUGUGAAAUCUCCGGGCUUAACCCGGAAACUGCAUUGGAAACUACCUUGCUAGAGGUUUUGAGGGGGGACUGGAAUUCUCGGUGUAGCAGUGAAAUGCGUAGAUAUCGAGAGGAACACCAGUGGCGAAGGCGGUUCUCUGGGAAUGUCCUGACGCUGAGGAGCGAAAGUGUGGGGAGCGAACAGG